AGCAGUAUGGUGUAAUGAUGCACACGGGAUUUUCUUGAGGUUCGACUGGUACAUCUGUGUAAUUCUCGAGGUCCUUGUUCGAAUCAAGGUACUGCUU
Molecule: non-coding RNA, 97 nt
Organism: Mycena leptocephala
Lineage: Eukaryota; Fungi; Basidiomycota; Agaricomycetes; Agaricales; Mycenaceae
Source: the annotation of a GenBank genome assembly